Molecule: ribosomal RNA, 487 nt
Filed under: uncultured bacterium
Lineage: Bacteria
Description: bacterial SSU rRNA
Rfam family: Bacterial small subunit ribosomal RNA
Source: RNAcentral
GACGAACGCUGGCGGCGUGCUUAACACAUGCAAGUCGAACGGUGACGAGGAGCUUGCUCCUCUGAUCAGUGGCGAACGGGUGAGUAACACGUGAGCAACCUGCCCCAGACUCUGGGAUAACAGUUGGAAACAGCUGCUAAUACCGGAUACGAGGCGGAGAGGCAUCUCUACCGUCUGGAAAGUUUUUCGGUCUGGGAUGGACUCGCGGCCUAUCAGCUAGUUGGUGAGGUAAUGGCUCACCAAGGCGACGACGGGUAGCCGGCCUGAGAGGGCGACCGGCCACACUGGGACUGAGACACGGCCCAGACUCCUACGGGAGGCAGCAGUGGGGAAUAUUGCACAAUGGGCGAAAGCCUGAUGCAGCGACGCCGCGUCGAGGGAUGAAGGCCUUCGGUUGGUAACCGUACUUUCUACGCAGGAAGAAGCGAAAGUAGACGGUACCGUAGCAGAGAAGACACCGGCUAACUAACGUGCCAGCAGCCGCGGU